RNAcentral lists this ribosomal RNA (484 nucleotides) under uncultured bacterium. RNAcentral describes it as "partial 16S ribosomal RNA". It matches the Rfam family "Bacterial small subunit ribosomal RNA", at positions 28 to 507 of the family's 1533-position model. The record is from RNAcentral.
AUUGAACGCUGGCGGCAUGCUUUACACAUGCAAGUCGAACGGCAGCGCGGGCUUCGGCCUGGCGGCGAGUGGCGAACGGGUGAGUAAUGCAUCGGAACGUGCCCAGUAGUGGGGGAUAGCCCGGCGAAAGCCGGAUUAAUACCGCCUACGACCUGAGGGUGCAAGCGGGGGACCGAAAGGCCUCGCGCUAUUGGAGCGGCCGAUGUGGGAGUAGCUAGUUGGUGGGGUAAAGGCUUACCAAGGCGACGAUCCGUAGCUGGUCGGAGAGGACGACCAGCCACACUGGGACGGAGACACGGACCAGACUCCUGCGGGAGGCAGCAGUGGGGAAUUUUGGACAAUGGGGGCAACCCUGAUCCAGCCAGGCCGCGUGCGGGAAGAAGGCCUUCGGGUUGUAAACCGCUUUUGUGCGGGAAGAAAUCCUUUGGGCUAAUACCCCGGGGGGAUGACGGUACCGGAAGAAGAAGCACCGGCUAACUACGUG